UAACUCCGUGCCAGCAGCCGCGGUAAUACGGAGGGUGCGAGCGUUAAUCGGAAUUACUGGGCGUAAAGCGCAUGCAGGCGGUUUGUUAAGCAAGAUGUGAAAGCCCCGGGCUCAACCUGGGAACCGCAUUUUGAACUGGCAGGCUAGAGUCUUGUAGAGGGGGGUAGAAUUUCAGGUGUAGCGGUGAAAUGCGUAGAGAUCUGAAGGAAUACCGGUGGCGAAGGCGGCCCCCUGGACAAAGACUGACGCUCAGAUGCGAAAGCGUGGGGAGCAAACAGGAUUAGAUACCCUGGUAGUCCACGCUGUAAACGAUGUCUACUUGGAGGUUGCGGUCUUGAACUGUGGCUUUCGGAGCUAACGCGUUAAGUAGACCGCCUGGGGAGUACGUCCGCGAGGUUAA
This 400-nucleotide ribosomal RNA is filed under the name uncultured Vibrio sp. Its description in RNAcentral is "bacterial SSU rRNA". It matches the Rfam family "Bacterial small subunit ribosomal RNA", at positions 498 to 897 of the family's 1533-position model. The record is from RNAcentral. Lineage: Bacteria; Pseudomonadati; Pseudomonadota; Gammaproteobacteria; Vibrionales; Vibrionaceae.